CAAGUCGAACGGAAACGACAGGAGCUUGCUCCUGGGCGUCGAGUGGCGGACGGGUGAGUAAUGCAUAGGAAUCUGCCCAUGUAGUGGGGGACAACCUGGGGAAACUCAGGCUAAUACCGCAUGAGCCCUUCGGGGGAAAGCAGGGGAUCUUCGGACCUUGCGCUAUUGGAUGAGCCUAUGUCUGAUUAGCUUGUUGGUGGGGUAAAAGCCUACCAAGGCGACGAUCAGUAGCUGGUCUGAGAGGACGAUCAGCCACACUGGGACUGAGACACGGCCCAGACUCCUACGGGAGGCAGCAGUGGGGAAUAUUGCACAAUGGGCGAAAGCCUGAUGCAGCAAUGCCGCGUGUGUGAAGAAGGCCUGCGGGUUGUAAAGCACUUUCA
This 383-nucleotide ribosomal RNA is filed under the name uncultured bacterium. Its description in RNAcentral is "bacterial SSU rRNA". It matches the Rfam family "Bacterial small subunit ribosomal RNA", at positions 58 to 438 of the family's 1533-position model. The record is from RNAcentral.